Non-coding RNA from Misgurnus anguillicaudatus (oriental weatherfish), 2204 nucleotides. Lineage: Eukaryota; Metazoa; Chordata; Actinopteri; Cypriniformes; Cobitidae. The record is from RefSeq and is a predicted model, not a curated record.
GAUUUAAGCAAUUUUGAGUGUGGUAUGGACUGAUUCAACCUGACAGAAGAGCAACUGUGACUGAAAUAACCACUCGUUACAACCGAGGUAUGCCGCAAAGCAUUUGUGAAGCCACAACACGCACAACCUCGAGGUGGAUGGGCUACAACAGCAGUAGACCCCACCGGGUACUACUUAUCUCCACUACAAAUAGGAAAAAGAGGCUACAAUUUGCACAAGCUCACCAAAAUUGUUGAAAAAUGUUGCCUGGUCUGAUGAGUCUCUGUUGAGACAUUCAGAUGGUAGAGUCAGAAUUUGGCGUAAACAGAAUGAGAACAUGGAUUCAUCAUGCCUUGUUACCACUGUGCAGGCUGGUCGUGUAAUGGUGUGGGGGAUGUUUCCUUGGCACCUUAGUGCCAAUUGGGCAUCAUUCAAAUGCCACAUCCUAUCUGAGCAUUGUUUCUGACCAUGACCAUCCCUUUAUGACCACCAUGUACUCAUCCUCUGAUGGCUACUUCCAGCAGGAUAAUGCACCAUGUCACAAAGCUUAAAUCAUUUCAAAUUGGUUUCUUGAACAUGACAAUGAGUUCACUGUACUAAAAUGGCCCCCACAGUAACCAGAUCUCAACCCAAUAUAGCAUCUUUGGGAUGUGGUGGAACGGGAGCUUCGUGCCCUGGAUAUGCAUCCCACAAAUCUCCAUCAACUGCAAGAUGCUAUCCUAUCAAUAUAGGACAACAUUUCUAAAGAAUGCUUUCAGCACCUUGUUGAAUCAAUGCCACAUAGUAUUAAGGCAGUUCUGAAGGCAAAAGAGGGUCAAACACAGUAUUACUAUGGUGUUCCUAAUAAUCCUUUAGAUGGAAAAGAGAGAAGACAAACUUCACCGAAAGAUUUAGGAGGAAAAGGCCAAAUUCGUUGUGACUAUAGAUGAGUACAACAGGGCAGCACCUGAAAAACUACUGUCAGCUGAUACAAUUCUGGCAUCUGGGAGUUACGCAUGGCCAUGGGACGGUCGUCACCAAUCCUGGUCAUGGGGGGUCUCUGCAGAUUUUAAAUGAAACCUCUGCUAAUUAGCCAUGACUGCUGCUUCCUACUGUUACAGACCAGGACUGUGGGCUCUCUGACAGUGGAGUUCUAGGACUUCACUUCCUGCUAAAGAAAAGACAAUACUACAUCAUCUCCUCUGUUCGCCAGUUGUACUGUACUGUGCUUGACAACUUUUCUGAGCUGUUUGGGAACAUAAAAGAUGAUGAUUACUUUAGGGAAAUUCACAUGGAUGAGGAGGUUAUCCACUAUUGUGGUGGUGGUGGUGGUGAUGAUGACGAUGAUGAGGAUGAGUAUGAAAAGUCAUUGUUUCCUCAGUCAGUAUAAAGUGUACACUCAAGUCAGAUUUUAAAGACAAGGUCAAGGUUAAACCAGGAUUAUGCCUUAGCUAAAAUUGGACAUUUACACUACUUUUAAAAAUGUGACUUACAAAUAAACUUACUGAUGUGCAUCUUGAGACAAAAUUAUGGCACUGAUAUAUUUAAAGAUAUGUCAGUAAAAGUUUUUUUUUUUGUUAAGACAGCUCAAAUAUACAUUUUAGUUUGGGACUAGGCUUAGGCCUUGUGAUCGAUUGAAGUUGCAAUUCACUAGUGUAGUGGAUGAAAACUUGUUUAGAAUGAUAAAGUUGUCUCCCAAUAGUUAAAUAGUUCAUCUUAUUUCCCCACGUCCCAAGUUACCUUAUGUCAUCUAUGUGAUUAUAUCUGUAUUUUAUCUUGUGUAUAUUACUGAAACUGCCAGUUGACCUUUUUUCCUUUAAUAUUAAGCAUCACAUACGGUAUAUAGACUCCACCACAUAAAUAUAGACUGUCUUUUUUAGUUUCAGUUAAUUAAACAAGACUGUAUGCUGUGAUGUUUAUCUUAGUAAUGUUUUACAUUGUUUACAUUUACAUUACAAAGGUGUUGUGAAAAUAUGUAAUUUUAUAUUGUUUGUCCAAUAAUUUUUAUAUUAGAUAUUGUAAUACGUUGCUGAUAUUAUUAGUGUUAUUAUUACUGAUGUAACAUUUAUGACUUUUUGGACAGUGUUGUAAAAUGCCUUCAUUGUUAUUCAUAAAGUGACAAAUAAAAUUGACCAAAUUCACGUGAAAACAACUUCCUGUUUUUUAUCAUAAAUUGUACUAUUAUGAUAUGUAUAUUUAAUGUUACAAACUUCAUUGCUCUAGAAUAAAAAUCUGUAAUUAAAGUA